UACGUAGGUGGCAAGCGUUGUCCGGAUUUACUGGGCGUAAAGAGCGCGCAGGCGGUCGUUCAAGUCGCGUGUGAAAGCCCCCGGCUCAACUGGGGAGGGUCACGCGAUACUGAUCGACUCGAAGGCAGGAGAGGGAAGUGGAAUUCCCGGUGUAAUGGUGAAAUGCGUAGAUAUCGGGAGGAACACCAGUGGCGAAGGCGACUUCCUGGCCUGUUCUUGACGCUGAGGCGCGAAAAGCUAGGGGGAGCAAACGGGG
RNAcentral lists this ribosomal RNA (256 nucleotides) under uncultured bacterium. Its description in RNAcentral is "partial 16S ribosomal RNA". It matches the Rfam family "Bacterial small subunit ribosomal RNA", at positions 524 to 777 of the family's 1533-position model. The record is from RNAcentral.